CAAGUAAGACUGUGUCUGGAAGCCAGAAGGGCUUCUAUGCUCUGUUUUUAACUUGUUUUUAACUUCUUAUCUCCACAACUUCUGUGGAAAUUUAAUUGAACUGAGAGUUACAAAGGCUUGGAUAUCUCUGUUAAUGCAUAAAGAUACUUGCCUGAACUUUACCUGCCUGCUUGCUGUGAGGAAGCCUUAAUUGAAUUUUGCAGAAUAAGCUGAAGAACUGCUUUAUUGCUGCCAUUGCUGGGACUUUUGGGUUCUGUCUUGAAGAUGGUGGACACUUAAGCUUAGAGUUCUUCUCUCAGGAAUAAUUAAGUCUGCAAUACCGACAGUUGAACGAAGAAGAGAUAUCAGCUUAAAGAUAAGUGUCCACUGGAGGUGACUCAGCUGAAAAAGCAACUCUGUCUUAUCUACUUUGUUAGAACUUUGGCAAACUAUGAAGCUCCCUUCAGUGUGAGCAACUGAAACAACUGUUGGUUUAGCUGGACAGAAUAAGUUUAGUAGAUUGCUCCAUUCUGAAGGAUUGUUGUGUAGACUGAGUUGUGUACCACUUGCUGUCUCCUUGACUCUUUUAUUCAAGGAAGAAAGUAGACAGGAACUAUGUACGGAGGAAUUGUGUGGGCUGGUCUUGCUGUUUAUGAGCUCAAGAGUUACUUUUGAGGAGUUUUUGGAAUUGCAACUGACAUACACUAGAAUAUCUGAAUUUUACCAUAUUUGAGCUUUAUAUAGUGAAGAAACAACUGGUUGGGGAGUUGUGCAAGAUAAAACUCUGUUAACAAGACAUCUUAUGUUUAUGUAAUUGGUGACUGAUAUGCCUCACAAACAGAAGAAAAGAUCUAGACCGUUUAAUGAUCCUCCUAAUGGAGCCCUCCUCCUUUAGAACUAUCCAAGUUGGAUAAUUAUCUGCAUCAGCAUAUUCCACAUAAAACGGAUAAUUUAAUAGGGCUUUGUGGCCCUAUGUCAACUUCAAACCUUUAUGCACCUCUUACUGAGGAAAAUAAUUUAAAAUCACCACAACAAAGCACUGAUGACUUCUCUUCUGAAGAGGAACUCCUCGUAGGUAACGGUGGUCAAAAUUCCUCUUUUGGAUUGCCUCAAUUUGUCAAGGAGAAAACUUCAUUUGAUCCUGACUCUGUGGGAUGCUUCUUGCCUCAUGUCUCUGUCUCCCAUGAGCAGCUACAAUCAAAAUUGCUAGCAGAAAUGAGGAUUAGCCCUUCUGAGCUUGGAACCAAUGGCUCUUUUGAGGAUGACAACAGUAAUGAAAUCUUGAACUUUUGUCAGGAUAAGACAGCAGCUGUACGAGCAGCAGAAAGGAGGAAGCUUGUAACAGCUGAAAUGUUCCAUGGGCAGAUACAUGGUAAGAAUCUGUUCAUGUGACCCGCAGCAAAACUAUUUGGAGAACGGUUCUAAUAAAAGGUGUUUUUAUUCUA
Eublepharis macularius is the source of this 1424-nucleotide long non-coding RNA. RefSeq lists it as uncharacterized. The record is from RefSeq and is a predicted model, not a curated record. The transcript has 2 exons. NCBI's taxonomy places the organism in Eukaryota, Metazoa, Chordata, Lepidosauria, Squamata, Eublepharidae.